UAUAUAUUUAUAUUAGCAAAUUAUGUUAAAAAAAAUUAAAGCACCUACAACCUUAAAAUCUUGAGUCUGCCACUGAAUCAAGGUGAACAGAGGUGGUGGUAACACAAGUUUUGGGGAGGGAGAGGCUUUUGCAAAUGGUGGGGUUCCAGAGAAUGAUAGUAUCCCUAUAACCAAAAAGAUCACCGAAGAGGCAAAAUAGACCAUAACAGCAACCAACAACCCUAAAGUGGUUUCUGGUAGUGGUGUUGAAAGGAAAUUUGACUUCUCUAAAGAGGACUGGAUUUUCAGCUUGGGUUGGAGGGUCAAGGUAGAUAGAGUAGCAUUCUUGUUUUCUCGAUUUGGUCUUGAUGGAGAUGUGGCGUAAGAUGUGAAGAGGAAUGGAGGAGAGGGAAUUAGAUAGGAAAUCGGGGAAGAUAUGAGGGAAUACCAUUGCUUUGAGACACACCGAAAUCAUAAAAGAUCUUCAAGAGGCAACCCCCUAAGGAUUUUUGUUAGCAAGCAAUCAGGGAAAUUCUGUUACCAACAAAUAACAAUCUGAUGACAAGCUUCCAAUGGUAGCAGUGAAGGUCAACUGCCUGAAGCUUCAUGACAUAAAAGCAACUUAUCGGCAAAACUUUUGGUGAGUUCAAAGACGGCAGAGACUGUUUCAAGUGAGAAGCUGUAGAUACAAUUGUGGAUAGAGAGAUUAGUGGCUGAUGGUAUUUACGUAUGGAUUCUGUUGUUGAGGUGAGCCUUUGCAUUAUCGUGGAGCUGUCAUCCAACUUUAGUUAUUUUUAGAUUAUAUUCCUGUUCGUUGGGUUUGUAUUCCCUAAAGUUAAACUCAUGUAACUUUGUUUAGAUGCUCUAUGGUCUUGGUAGGAUUUGAGGCUAGAGAGAUAUUAUAUAAGUAAUGUGGUUUUCAUAAACCGUAUUAUGAUAACUUGAUGGAUAAUUACUUUGAAUUUAAUAAUCAUUUCAUGCAUUUGAAGUUGCACAUGUUUUUAUCUCAGCGUUUGUAG
Capsicum annuum is the source of this 998-nucleotide long non-coding RNA. RefSeq lists it as uncharacterized. The record is from RefSeq and is a predicted model, not a curated record. The transcript has 4 exons. Lineage: Eukaryota; Viridiplantae; Streptophyta; Magnoliopsida; Solanales; Solanaceae.